CGUUGUUUGGCCCUAUAAAAAUGCGUCACUCCGUGUGCGUCUUCCAUCUCGGAUGCGCCAUCAUCCCUGCUCCUUCACUCCUGACACCCCUUCCGUCGAACACAAUGUGAGCUCUGCCCUGUUGGUGUCUGAUGAAGCGCCGCCGACGGCACCGUGGAGUGCCUAGGGUUCUAUCAGGCCGCUCGCAGGUCAUGGGCCCGCGCGAUUCCGCAGCGUCGUGAUCCUCCAGCACGGGCGUGCCGCCGCCAUCAAGACGAACCGGCGCCGCCUUCGGUCGCUGUCAUCGCAGGUAGCGGCAGCAUGUACGCAUCAGGAGCGGGCGCCUCUUCUUUCGUGCUCUCGCUAGAUCCUCCCAGCAGCAAGUCACCCUCUCCACCACGCCCUUUUCCUGCGGACUACGGGAGUCAAAUGCUAGCUGGCCCUUGAUCUGAAUGAACAGACCUGCAACCGGUGCUUGAUACGGAAGCAUGAAUAGUGCAAGAGCUAGCAAAGUCACCGAUCGCCAUACAGAAUGCCAACGUGGGAAGGUGGAAGCACAAAUAGAAGCAGUGUGAAGCUGCUAUUUUUUCCUCGCCGGCUACAGAUCAAGCGUCUUGGUCAGCGAUGUGUUACAUACGUUAUUUCUCCAGCACAAGUUCUCCCAAUCAGCACAGAUUUGGCGACGCCCCCCUUUCGUUGUCCUCUCGAUGGCGGGAUUACUUCCGUCUCUGGUGCAGCGACGGCGUUCGGUGAUUGUUUCUCGCCUUCAGAAGAUAAGCUCUCAAAGCACAAGACUCUCUUCAGCUUACUGAAAACUACUUACUGAAAACUUUCUUACGCACAAAACUUCUUGCGGAUAUGUAAACAUGAACUGACAGGACAACUUCAUAAUCUUGCACGUUUUUAACUUAGGACCUACUAUUUGUCUCGCCUCAUUCAUCUACAUGCGAGUCCUCUUGAGAGUCAAUUAAUGACUGCAUAUGCUUUGAUUUGAUUCCCACUGACUAAUGGUUUCAUGACCUGUGUUUCUUUUCUCAUAUUGGCUGGUUGCAUGACAAUUGGUGUUAGUGACUUCCUUUCGUUUAAGUUUGAUUUAGUAUUUGUAGGGAUGCAUCUGUAUGAGGAUUCUCAUCAUUAAUUGGUGGGUUGGUUUAGCAAAAAAAAUGACAAGUGUGCAUGCAACAAUGGGUGGACUAUGCAGAAUUUUUUCUAUAUUUUAUUUAUGGCCAAUGAGGACUGGUGACGGUUGCUACU
Molecule: long non-coding RNA, 1233 nt
Organism: Triticum aestivum (bread wheat)
Lineage: Eukaryota; Viridiplantae; Streptophyta; Magnoliopsida; Poales; Poaceae
Exons: 2
Source: RefSeq, a predicted model, not a curated record